Long non-coding RNA from Daktulosphaira vitifoliae (grape phylloxera), 905 nucleotides. RefSeq lists it as uncharacterized. The transcript is spliced from 3 exons. Lineage: Eukaryota; Metazoa; Arthropoda; Insecta; Hemiptera; Phylloxeridae. The record is from RefSeq and is a predicted model, not a curated record.
AAGUAUUAAAACAAAUAUUUUUGGAAAAAAAGAAUUUUGAAAUAAAUUUUAAAUUAAACAAAAUGGUAACUGAAAAAAGUCCCGAAUUUUGGGACACGGUUUUUCAAAAACAUUUGAAUCCAAAGCCUCAUCUUAGAAUUUUGCCGCUUGGUUUAUUUGAAAGAACAAAAAAAGGUCUUCAACUCAAUAUAUUGCUUCAUAUUUUAGUGUCACACAGAUUACUCACACCAGUACUCCUUCCUCAAGAUGCUACCCUGUUUUAUAUCGCUAUUUUAUAUCUAUAUUUAACUACUAUUAAUUUAUUAUAUUAUAAUAAUAAAAAUAUAAAUAAUUAAAGAGUCAGUUGGAGUACAUUUCUUUAAUUGCUAAUUAUGCUUACAAAAUCAGAAAAAAUAAUUUUGCACGUUAUUCCUGAUGACCCUUUUAAUUGUACUUGUUAUUACAUUUAUUCAGGGAAAGCUUGAGGGUUUGUUAACUGGUGGAUGACCUAAAACACGGACCGUCCGCUACUGACGAGAACUUCCAAAUAGUUAAUGUAUAAACUAUUUUCCAAUUUGGAACUACUCGUAUAUUGUUAAUAUAAUAAUAACUACCGAUAUAUACGCCAUUGUCCGUCUGCUACAAGUGUUCGCGUUGCUAUCGCAUUACAACCUAUCCCCUGAAAUAUGUUGUGCGCUCAAAUAACAUAAAGUGUGAUUUACACGAUAUUAUACAGGCAUAUAAUUGUUUAGCCUCAUCUACAAAUAAAUGUAGUUGAUUAAUAACACUAAUAAACCCAUUUUGUCACUCGAUGUUUUACUUUAACAAUUUAAAAAAAAUGUAUAAUUUUUGUAAUGAUUAAUCUCAUAAUAUGAAAAAAUUUAAGAAAAUUUUAUUAUUAAUAAUUAUAUAUUUGUACCUGUAAU